UGUUCCUGUCGGGUAACCGCGCGAACCUUUAGGAAGCGAGGAAAGUCCGGACACCAGAGGGCAAAGGGACCGGGUAACACCCGGACGUUGAAAGACGAUGGAAAGUGCCACAGAAAAGAUACCGCCCUUUCAGGGUAAGGGUGAAAUGGUGGGGUAAGAGCUCACCGCUGAUUUCGAAAGAAAACAGGCAGGGUAAACCCUCCCCGGUGCAAUCUCAAGUAGACAACCGUUACGAGUUUUGCCUGACCAUGGUUGUGGGUAGAGAGCAAAGACCUUUUUUGAAAAAAGAAGGCAAGAUAAAUGGUUACCGGCCAGCAAUGGUUACAGAAUCCGGCUUAUAGAUAGGAACAUUGG
RNAcentral lists this RNase P RNA (354 nucleotides) under Leptospiraceae bacterium. RNAcentral's name for it is "RNase P RNA component class A". It matches the Rfam family "Bacterial RNase P class A". Rfam says of the family: Ribonuclease P (RNase P) is a ubiquitous endoribonuclease, found in archaea, bacteria and eukarya as well as chloroplasts and mitochondria. Its best characterised activity is the generation of mature 5'-ends of tRNAs by cleaving the 5'-leader elements of precursor-tRNAs. Lineage: Bacteria; Pseudomonadati; Spirochaetota; Leptospiria; Leptospirales; Leptospiraceae. The record is from RNAcentral.